RNAcentral lists this ribosomal RNA (844 nucleotides) under unidentified. RNAcentral describes it as "Circumfusicillium cavernae partial large subunit ribosomal RNA". It matches the Rfam family "Eukaryotic large subunit ribosomal RNA", at positions 32 to 911 of the family's 3401-position model. The record is from RNAcentral.
ACUUAAGCAUAUCAAUAAGCGGAGGAAAAGAAACCAACAGGGAUUGCCCUAGUAACGGCGAGUGAAGCGGCAACAGCUCAAAUUUGAAAUCUGGCCCUAGGCCCGAGUUGUAAUUUGUAGAGGAUGCUUCUGGCGACGUGCCUUCCGAGUUCCCUGGAACGGGACGCCAUAGAGGGUGAGAGCCCCGUCCGGUCGUGCACCUAGCCUCUGUGAAGCUCCUUCGACGAGUCGAGUAGUUUGGGAAUGCUGCUCUAAAUGGGAGGUAUACGUCUUCUAAAGCUAAAUACCGGCCAGAGACCGAUAGCGCACAAGUAGAGUGAUCGAAAGAUGAAAAGCACUUUGAAAAGAGGGUUAAAUAGUACGUGAAAUUGCUGAAAGGGAAGCGCUUAUGACCAGACUUGGGCCGGUUAAUCAUCCAGCGUUCUCGCUGGUGCACUUUGCCGGUCCAGGCCAGCAUCAGUUUGCCUUGGGGGAUAAAGGCUUCGGGAAUGUAGCUCCCUCGGGAGUGUUAUAGCCCGUUGUGUAAUACCCUGGGGCAGACUGAGGUACGCGUUCUGCAAGGAUGCUGGCGUAAUGGUCAUCAGUGACCCGUCUUGAAACACGGACCAAGGAGUCGUCUUCGUAUGCGAGUGUUCGGGUGUCAAACCCCUACGCGUAAUGAAAGUGAACGUAGGAGAGAGCUUCGGCGCAUCUCCGACCGAUCCUGAUGUUCUCGGAUGGAUUUGAGUAAGAGCAUACGGGGCCGGACCCGAAAGAAGGUGAACUAUGCCUGUAUAGGGUGAAGCCAGAGGAAACUCUGGUGGAGGCUCGCAGCGGUUCUGACGUGCAAAUCGAUCGUCAAAUA